UUUUCGGACGGAAUCAUAACUGACUGAGCGGCGGACGGGUGAGUAACGCGUGGGUAACCUGCCUCAUACAGGGGGAUAACAGUUAGAAAUGGCUGCUAAUACCGCAUAAGCACACAGCUUCGCAUGGAGCAGUGUGAAAAACUCCGGUGGUAUGAGAUGGACCCGCGUCUGAUUAGCUAGUUGGUAAGGUAACGGCUUACCAAGGCGACGAUCAGUAGCCGACCUGAGAGGGUGACCGGCCACAUUGGGACUGAGACACGGCCCAAACUCCUACGGGAGGCAGCAGUGGGGAAUAUUGCACAAUGGGGGAAACCCUGAUGCAGCGACGCCGCGUGAGUGAAGAAGUAUCUCGGUAUGUAAAGCUCUAUCAGCAGGGAAGAAAAUGACGGUACCUGACUAAGAAGCCCCGGCUAACUACGUGCCAGCAGCCGCGGUAAUACGUAGGGGGCAAGCGUUAUCCGGAUUUACUGGGUGUAAAGGGAGCGUAGACGGCGGAGCAAGUCUGAAGUGAAAGCCCGGGGCUCAACCCCGGGACUGCUUUGGAAACUGUUCUGCUAGAGUGCUGGAGAGGUAAGUGGAAUUCCUAGUGUAGCGGUGAAAUGCGUAGAUAUUAGGAGGAACACCAGUGGCGAAGGCGGCUUACUGGACAGUAACUGACGUUGAGG
This 665-nucleotide ribosomal RNA is filed under the name uncultured Lachnospiraceae bacterium. RNAcentral's name for it is "bacterial SSU rRNA". It matches the Rfam family "Bacterial small subunit ribosomal RNA", at positions 77 to 751 of the family's 1533-position model. The record is from RNAcentral. Lineage: Bacteria; Bacillati; Bacillota; Clostridia; Lachnospirales; Lachnospiraceae.